ACCCUGGAUAGCUCAGUUGGUUAGAGCAUGCUGCUGCUGCUACCAAGAUUGAAGGUUUGAUCCCUCUAUGGGGCA
Non-coding RNA from Podarcis lilfordi (Lilford's wall lizard), 75 nucleotides. The record is from the annotation of a GenBank genome assembly. NCBI's taxonomy places the organism in Eukaryota, Metazoa, Chordata, Lepidosauria, Squamata, Lacertidae.